RNAcentral lists this ribosomal RNA (292 nucleotides) under uncultured bacterium. RNAcentral describes it as "partial 16S ribosomal RNA". It matches the Rfam family "Bacterial small subunit ribosomal RNA", at positions 505 to 796 of the family's 1533-position model. The record is from RNAcentral.
GUGCCAGCAGCCGCGGUAAGACGAACCGUGCAAACGUUAUUCGGAUUCACUGGGCUUAAAGGGCGCGUAGGCGGGUGAUCAAGUCAGGGGUGAAAUCCUCCAGCUUAACUGGAGCAGUGCCUUUGAUACUGGUCGUCUUGAGGGAGGUAGGGGCAUGUGGAACUUCCGGUGGAGCGGUGAAAUGCGUAGAUAUCGGAAGGAACGCCGGUGGCGAAAGCGACGUGCUGGAUCUCUUCUGACGCUGAGGCGCGAAAGCCAGGGUAGCGAACGGGAUUAGAAACCCGAGUAGUCC